RNAcentral lists this long non-coding RNA (2110 nucleotides) under Homo sapiens (human). Its description in RNAcentral is "non-protein coding lnc-CFAP206-1:1". Lineage: Eukaryota; Metazoa; Chordata; Mammalia; Primates; Hominidae. The record is from RNAcentral.
UAGAGCUCACAGAGGAUGAGAAGACAUUUGAGCUCUGACCAGCCAGAGUGAAGAGUCCUCAGUGAAAACCAAGGAAUUCAUUGAAGACCUCUGAGCAGUUAUUAAUUAGUAGUAAGGUCAAAUUAUUUCUGGAAUGAAGACUACUCUAGACCUACCCUAAUAAAGCUUAAAAACAGUCCACAAAUGAAUCAAACUCAUCCACAAAUAACUGGCUGAAAAAAACAGCACAACCCUUCCUAAAGGGGGACAAUUCAGACACUGAACAAGGAUGCAAUUCACAACGUCCAGUAUUCAAUAAAAAAUUAUUAUUAUUUUUUGUUGUUGUUGUUUGUUUUUGAGACGGAGUUUCGCUCUUGUUGCCCAAGCUGGAGUGCAAUGGAGCGAUCUCUCGGCUCACUGUAACCUCCGCCUCCCAGCUUCAAGCAAUUCUCCUGCCUCAGCCUCCCGAGCAGCUGGGAUUACAGGCGCCCGCCACCGUGCCCAGCUAAUUUUUUGUAUUUUUAGUGGAGACGGCGUUUAACUAUGUUGGCCAGGUUGGUCUCAAACUCCUGACCUCAGGCGAUCCACCCACCUUGGCCUCCCGAAGUGCUGGGAUUACAGGCGUGAGCCACCGUGCCCGGCUCAAUAAAAAAUUAUUAAACAUGCUAAGAAGCUCAACUCAUUUGAGCUUAAAACUUCUUAAAGCCUGAGGAAAAGGAAAAAUAUAUAAUUCUCUCUUUAAAUGUUGAACAGUUUGUGACAUAUUAAAGAUACUUAAUCAGAAGAAAUUAAUUCUACAAUAUUCUUAAAGGCAAUCUUUUAGCUUUUAGAUAAAAAACAUUUGAUAAAAUGGGUUUCACUUCUUCUAGGAUGACUUCCAUCACAAUUCUAUUUUAAGACUGUUUUAUGUAGAUUUGUAAUCUGGUGUUUUGAAACAACAUAAAACUUGGUUUCUCUUUUAACAAAACUGAGAAGAGUUCUCAUGCCUUCUUUUUCUCAAGGUAAAUAUAUCCAGUUCUCUCUAUCUUAUUCUGACAAAAUUUUUCUUAUUCUCUGGAUGCACUCUGGUUCCUCCGUGUUUUUUAAUUAAAUGCCAUUGCUGCCGUGUUAAAACUAGGAACAAAUAGUUCUACAAAGACUAGAAGUCCAAUAAACCAUGGGAGUAUAAAAUAUAUUGUCAUAGUUGAUGUUGUCAAUAAUAACCAUGAUAAAGGUCAUAAAAUACUAGUUUCUAAAAUUUAUGAAUCCUUUUAUCUAUGUCAGAUGCUGUGCUAAGUGCUUCAUGACGGCUAUCUCAUUUUACUCUCACAACUCCACGAGAUAGAUACCAUUGUUUUGUUUUAUAAAUGAGAAAUUUAAAUCACUGAAAGGUUUAUAAAUGAACUCUUUCCACACUUAUACUGUAUAAUAAGCCACUCAAAAACUCAGGAACUCUAGAAGAGUUUUAGACUGGAAUAUAAGCUUUGUGGAACAUUUACCCACAUUUAGACUGCUCAAACUAACCAAAACAUCAGGUUUCUUGCCUUCAACUAGACUACUAGCCACCUGGCAUGAUGAUUAUUGGUUAACUCAAGGGAAAUAACUUAUUACUUAACAAAUGUUAUUGGUAGUAAAGAUAUGGAAUCAACCACACCAAAGAGGGAAAGCUGCAUGUUAUUGUGCAAGUAAGAGCUGCGUUUGACAGCACAUUUGUUAAAACCUGUAAGUCAAGAUUUUUGUAGAGUUAUUUCCCCCCAAGCUAUUUUUGCAGGGCCCAUUCACAGACACACAACACAGGGCUUCUUGAUUUUUCUUGAUAAGGCAAGUAAAAAAAUCAGUUAGGUGGAAUUUGUGCUUGUUUUAUUAUAUUUUAUUUCUGUUGUAAUAAGAACAUUAAACAUCAGAGAUUCCAUUCUAAUUUCUGCUUCUAUAAGUUUGACUAGACUUGUUGAAAAUUGUCCGUGGAAGAAAGUAUGAGGAACUUAUAAAAAGUGUUUAAAAGGUAGGGGGAAGGGGAAGAAGACAAAGAAACAUGCUGGGAUCACAUGCUUUUGCCAAACAUUUGAAUGUUAUGAUAAAAUUUUUUUAAGUGAUAGCAUUUUUAGAGGACUAAUAUUAUAAUUAAAAACUCUAGAUGGGCCGGGCGUGGUGG